AAAUGAAUAGACGGGGACCCGCACAAGCGGUGGAGCAUGUGGUUUAAUUCGACGGUAAACGAAGAACCUCACCAAGGCUUGACAUCUAGCUGCAAGGUCUGGAAACAGAUCCGCCUUCGAGGGUGCUAGACAGAUGCUGCAUGGUUGUCGUCAGUUCGUGUCGUGAGAUGUACCGUUAAGUCGGAAAACGAACGCAACCCUUUUCUUAUGUUUUACAUGUCAUAAGAGACUGCCCGUUUUAAAUGGGAGGAAGGUGGGAUGACGUCAAAUCAGCAUGGUUCUUACGCCUUGGGCUACACACGUGCUACAAUGGGAGGUACAAAGGGAUGCCAAACCGCGAGGUGGAGCCAAUCCCAAAAAACCUCUCUCAGUUCGGAUUGAAGUCUGCAAUUCGACUUCAUGAAGUUGGAAUCGCUAGUAAUCGUAGGUCAGCUAUACUACGGUGAAUACGUUCUCGGGUCUUGUACACACCGCCCGU
This 478-nucleotide ribosomal RNA is filed under the name uncultured bacterium. RNAcentral's name for it is "bacterial SSU rRNA". It matches the Rfam family "Bacterial small subunit ribosomal RNA", at positions 903 to 1397 of the family's 1533-position model. The record is from RNAcentral.